RNAcentral lists this ribosomal RNA (251 nucleotides) under Salmonella enterica. RNAcentral's name for it is "partial 23S ribosomal RNA". It matches the Rfam family "Bacterial large subunit ribosomal RNA", at positions 371 to 587 of the family's 2925-position model. Lineage: Bacteria; Pseudomonadati; Pseudomonadota; Gammaproteobacteria; Enterobacterales; Enterobacteriaceae. The record is from RNAcentral.
CCCCGUACACAAAAGCGCAUAUGCUGUGAGCUCGAUGAGUAGGGCGGGACACGUGGUAUCCUGUCUGAAUAUGGGGGGACCAUCCUCCAAGGCUAAAUACUCCUGACUGACCGAUAGUGAACCAGUACCGUGAGGGAAAGGCGAAAAGAACCCCGGCGAGGGGAGUGAAAAAGAACCUGAAACCGUGUACGUACAAGCAGUGGGAGCCCCACCACUAAGCCAGUGGUGAAGUCCACAUACGCAUCCUUUGC